UAACAAGGUCUCCGUAGGUGAACCUGCGGAGGGAUCAUU
RNAcentral lists this ribosomal RNA (39 nucleotides) under Teratosphaeria nubilosa. RNAcentral describes it as "partial 18S ribosomal RNA". Lineage: Eukaryota; Fungi; Ascomycota; Dothideomycetes; Mycosphaerellales; Teratosphaeriaceae. The record is from RNAcentral. RNAcentral also lists the same sequence under 44 other names.